This 95-nucleotide transfer RNA is filed under the name Candidatus Staskawiczbacteria bacterium. RNAcentral's name for it is "tRNA-Pro". It matches the Rfam family "tRNA". Rfam says of the family: Transfer RNA (tRNA) molecules are approximately 80 nucleotides in length. Lineage: Bacteria; Candidatus Staskawicziibacteriota. The record is from RNAcentral.
GGUGCCGUAGUUCAGUUGGUAGAGCGCUAGUGAGGAGCCAUGUAGUUCCGAUGUUUCCAAACUAGGGGUCGUGGGUUCGAUUCCCGCCGGCACCA